ACCUAUUGCGCUAUAUCUGCAGGUGCUUGCACCUGCAGGCAUUGCCAACCAACCUUUGUUUAUUUGCCACUUUCGUAAAUUCCCUCGGCAGGGACGCCUGCCAUUGGAAAACCCCCGAAACUCCUUAAAAGAUUAUCUUAAGAAUCCAAGCAAAAUAUUACAACUUUCAACAAUGGAUCUCUUGGUUCUGGCAUCGAUGAAGAACGCAGCGAAAUGCGAAAAGUAGUGUGAAUUGCAGACUUUAGUGAAUCAUCGAAUCUUUGAACGCAUAUUGCGCCCCUUGGUAUUCCAUUGGGCAUGCCUGUUCGAGCGUCAAUAUAUAUGCUCAAGCUUUGCUUGGUGUUGGGUGUCUGCCUACGCUAUUUUGCGUGGACUCGCCUCAAAAGGAUUGGUAAUAGCUUUCCAGCCUCUCGCGCAGCACUUUGCGCUUCUCGAAGCUUCGGUAGGCUAGUAUCCAUAGAAAGCCUCUCUAGUUUGACCUCGAAUCAGGUAGGGAUACCCGCUGAACUUAAGCAUAUCAAUAAGCGGAGGAA
This 533-nucleotide ribosomal RNA is filed under the name Cheirosporium triseriale. RNAcentral describes it as "eukaryotic LSU rRNA". The stretch from base 162 to 315 matches the Rfam family "5.8S ribosomal RNA". Lineage: Eukaryota; Fungi; Ascomycota; Dothideomycetes; Pleosporales. The record is from RNAcentral.